Molecule: ribosomal RNA, 116 nt
Filed under: Lachnospiraceae bacterium
Lineage: Bacteria; Bacillati; Bacillota; Clostridia; Lachnospirales; Lachnospiraceae
Description: partial 16S ribosomal RNA
Rfam family: Bacterial small subunit ribosomal RNA
Source: RNAcentral
UUUAAAUGAGAGUUCGAUCCUGGCUCAGGAUGAACGCUGGCGGCGUGCUUAACACAUGCAAGUCGAACGGAGUUAAGAUGAAACCUAGUGAUUUUUAACUUAGUGGCGGACGGGUG